GGAGCAUGCUACUAAUGCUUUUAGAAUGCAAGGUGAAACCUGGAAGGUUGUCUCUGCCAAUCUUCUUUAUAUAUCUUUGUAUGGCUAAAUUCCCUUUUCCUAACUGCCAUGAGAAUGAUUCGGUUCUACGCUGUUCCCUGGACUACUGUGACUGUGAUCUGCAAAAGAGCUAGAGAGUUUGCAGAUAAUUAAAGCCAGAAUUCUGCCUGGUUGGGUAACCAUGAGUUUUUGUGCUUGCACAGUCUUCGUUUUCAAAAGCAUUGUCUGUUUUGUGCUGACAGUGAAGCCAUCUCAGAAGGUGAACCUGGGAAAAUUCAGGUAUUCUCUGAUUCUCUGGAAGGAAAAGGGUAAUGGAAACUUGCAGAAGAACAGUAGAUCUAAUGAGAGGAAGAGUGAGGAAAUGAAGGAUCUGAUGAAUAAAAAACAACAAAAAGAACCCAUACAUUUGGUAAAGAAAGAAAGAAGCCCUUACAGAGUGUGA
Molecule: long non-coding RNA, 481 nt
Filed under: Numida meleagris (helmeted guineafowl)
Lineage: Eukaryota; Metazoa; Chordata; Aves; Galliformes; Numididae
Description: lncRNA (ENSNMEG00000012466.1)
Source: RNAcentral